ACUCCUACGGGAGGCAGCAGUGGGGAAUCUUGGACAAUGGGCGCAAGCCUGAUCCAGCCAUGCCGCGUGAGUGAUGAAGGCCUUAGGGUCGUAAAGCUCUUUCGCCAGGGAUGAUAAUGACAGUACCUGGUAAAGAAACCCGGCUAACUCCGUGCCAGCAGCCGCGGUAAUACGGAGGGGUUAGCGUUGUUCGGAAUUACUGGGGCGUAAAGCGCGCGUAGGCGGACCAGAAAGUUGGGGGUGAAAUCCCGGGGCUCAACCCCGGAACUGCCUCCAAAACUCCUGGUCUAGAGUUCGAGAGAGGUGAGUGGAAUUCCGAGUGUAGAGGUGAAAUUCGUAGAUAUUCGGAGGAACACCAGUGGCGAAGGCGGCUCACUGGCUCGAUACUGACGCUGAGGUGCGAAAGUGUGGGGAGCAAACAGGAUUAGAUACCCUGGUAGGAUAGCG
Molecule: ribosomal RNA, 447 nt
Filed under: uncultured bacterium
Lineage: Bacteria
Description: bacterial SSU rRNA
Rfam family: Bacterial small subunit ribosomal RNA
Source: RNAcentral